GCUUCACAAGGAAGCACUGGUACCAUUGCUCAGCUUUCUACAAAAAGGAAACCUUUUAACAUGCAUGCACCACCCUCUUUACUCCUUCCUUGCAGUGAAUGCAGUGAGGAAACUUCCUCCUUCCCUUUCACCUUUGGGCUAUGGAAUAUGGAUGUCCUACUCGUACAUCAUCCUAUCGUCUUUAGUUUGUUGAGCUUUGGCAACUUCCAAGUCCAGCUUUUCUCAUUUUGUGAAAUUAAAAGUAAUUUUCUACUUUUAAUUUCAUGUUAUUGCUAUUACAUGUUAUUUUUGUUGUUUUUAUUUUAUAAAUUUUUAGUAAUCUUAUAAAAUAUUAGCAAAUGAAGUUAAAUCCAACUUGACCGAGGAGAUGCACAAACCACGUUUUCACUUCUGUUUUAGCUUUAGAUUCGAAUACUUUUACUUCAUAGCCUGCAACCCGAAAGCCCUCUCCCACCAUUUCUUGAACUUGCUCACCUCCUCCACAUUCUCACCGUAAUACCUCCUUCCGACUGUCAUCACCUUAACAGACGCUCGAAGAUAAGCAAUUUCAUCUCCAUCUCCAUCUCCAUCUCCAUCUCCAUCAUCUGAUGUGAGGCCUGGAGAUGACUGAACUCAACACUGGAACAAGUAUGGCGCUGAUACGAUCAAAACAGUAGGCAAACAGGCUGUUCCACUUCAUCUUCCCAGACAUCUCACAACCAAAAAAUUUUCAACCAGGCAGGAAAGGUGAUAGUUUUCUUCAAUUUUCCUUCUUGCUUUUACUCUUGAUUAUCUGAUCUCAAUGCUGAUAUUUUGGAUCAACAAGAUGGGCAGUGGCAGUCCAAAUUUUAGAGUGCAGAAUGAUGAUGAAAUCAUCUAAUAUCCGACACUGUUAUUGGUCGACUAACUAGAUGUACCCAUUUAUUGAAAUCUCUUUGCUUUGAAA
This is a long non-coding RNA of Vitis vinifera (wine grape), 925 nucleotides long. RefSeq lists it as uncharacterized. The record is from RefSeq and is a predicted model, not a curated record. The transcript is spliced from 2 exons. NCBI's taxonomy places the organism in Eukaryota, Viridiplantae, Streptophyta, Magnoliopsida, Vitales, Vitaceae.